Molecule: ribosomal RNA, 301 nt
Filed under: uncultured bacterium
Lineage: Bacteria
Description: partial 16S ribosomal RNA
Rfam family: Bacterial small subunit ribosomal RNA
Source: RNAcentral
CAGUAGCCGCGGGAAUACAGAGGGUGCGAGCGUUAAUCGGAUUUACUGGGCGUAAAGCGUGCGUAGGCGGCUAAUUGAGUCGGAUGUGAAAUCCCCGAGCUUAACUUGGGAAUUGCAUUCGAUACUGGUUAGCUAGAGUGUGGGAGAGGAUGGUAGAAUUCCAGGUGUAGCGGUGAAAUGCGUAGAGAUCUGGAGGAAUACCGAUGGCGAAGGCAGCCAUCUGGCCUAACACUGACGCUGAGGUACGAAAGCAUGGGGAGCAAACAGGAUUAGAUACCCCAGUAGUCCCUGUCUCUUAUGC